This 1223-nucleotide long non-coding RNA is filed under the name Sus scrofa (pig). RNAcentral's name for it is "lncRNA (ENSSSCG00050026369.1)". Lineage: Eukaryota; Metazoa; Chordata; Mammalia; Artiodactyla; Suidae. The record is from RNAcentral.
CGAACCCAACUAGUAUUCAUGAGGACAUGGGAUCAAUCCCUGGCCUUGCUCAGUGGGUUAAGGAUCUGGCAUUGCCAUGAGCUGUGGUGUAGGUCGCAGGCGCGGCCCAGAUCCAUUGCUGCUGUGGCUGUGGUGUAGGCUGGCAGCCGUAGCUCCAAUUUGACCCCCAGCCUGAGAACCUCCAUAUGCCGCCGGCGCGACCCUAAAAAAAAAGACAAAAAAAAAAAAAAAAAAAAAAAAAAAAAAGAAAUAAUGGUGUGUGUGCGUGCCAGUGUGUAAGAAUGCUAAAUAAGGUUGAUUAAUGCUGAUUGUUACCCUGAAAAGGCCUAGUUGGCCUGAAAUAGAGAAAGCAACAAUAUUUGGAUGCUGUUUUGUGGGUGAGCCUAUAUUGCUGUAAAUAGUGCGGUAAUUGCUUCUAAACACAAAGUUGUUGCCUAACUGAAUUUAAUAUUUUCCAGUAGGGAGUGAAAUUGAAUAAGUAGAAAAAUGUGUGCUGCAAUGCCUGUGCUUAUGUUGGGUAGGGCCUUCCAUUGCUGAAGGAAGUCAAAGGUAGAGGCCAAAUUGGUGGAUUUUCCAGUUGCGGUUAGUAAAAGUCCUAUGAAGGGUAAGCUGGGGUAGUUGAAGGGUAAGCUGGGGUAGUUGAGGUUAAGUAUAAAAACUUGUCAUAAAGCCCAUGUGUCUAAAUUGAAAAAGAAUCAUGCUAUUGAUGUAAUGAAUCCAGUAUCUCCCAUGUGGUUACAUAAGUUUACUUGGGAGUUCCCUGGUGGCCUAGCAGGUUAAGGACCAGCAUUGUCAUUGCUGCAGCUUGAUCCCUGGCCUAGGAACUUGUGCAUGCUCCAGGUGAGGCAAAAAAAACAAAACAAAAAACUUGAAGAACAGCUGUAUUUGUGUCUGCCAUGUGCCUAUCCAAUAAGUGAAAGAUACAUCAUUUCAUCUCCUCAUCCUAGGAAAAGUUGGAAAAGACUGUUGGCAGUGACAAGAAUUAGUUUUGUAAUUAGAGGAGUUUCCAUCACGGCUCAGUGGAAACGAAUCCAACUAGUGUCCAUGAGGACACAGGUUCGAUCCCAGGCCUCACUCAGUGGGUUAAGGAUCUGGCGUUGCCCUGAGCAGUGGUGUAGGUCACAGAUCCGACUCAGAUCUGGCAUUGUUGUGGCUAUGGCAUAGGGCAGCAGCUACAGCUGUUUCCCUUAGUCUGGGAACCUCCGUAUGCCGCAAGUAUGGCC